AACGCGAAGAACCUUACCUGGGCUCGAAGCACAGUGGACCGGGGUAGAAAUAUCCCUUUUCGCAAGAACUGCUGUGGAGGUGCUGCAUGGCUGUCGUCAGCUCGUGUCGUGAGGUGUUGGGUUAAGUCCCGCAACGAGCGCAACCCUUAUUCGUAGUUGCCACCCGCAAGGGGGAACUCUACGAGGACUGCUCCGGAUAACGGAGAGGAAGGUGGGGAUGACGUCAAGUCAGCACGGCCUUUAUGUCCAGGGCUACACACGUGUUACAAUGCGCGGCACAGACUGUUGCGAACCCGCGAGGGGGAGCUAAUCGGAAAAAACCGCGCUCAGUUCGGAUUGCAGUCUGCAACUCGACUGCAUGAAGCUGGAAUCGCUAGUAAUGGCGUAUCAGAUCGACGCCGUGAAUACGUUCCCGGGCCUUGUACACACCGAGACGUA
This 438-nucleotide ribosomal RNA is filed under the name uncultured bacterium. Its description in RNAcentral is "bacterial SSU rRNA". It matches the Rfam family "Bacterial small subunit ribosomal RNA", at positions 958 to 1398 of the family's 1533-position model. The record is from RNAcentral.